UACGUAGGGGGCAAGCGUUAUCCGGAUUUACUGGGUGUAAAGGGAGCGUAGACGGCGGUGCAAGCCAGAUGUGAAAGCCCGGGGCUCAACCCCGGGACUGCAUUUGGAACUGUGCUGCUAAAGUGUCGGAGAGGCAGGCGGAAUUCCUAGUGUAGCGGUGAAAUGCGUAGAUAUUAGGAGGAACACCAGUGGCGAAGGCGGCCUGCUGGACGAUGACUGACGUUGAGGCUCGAAAGCGUGGGGAGCAAACAGG
RNAcentral lists this ribosomal RNA (253 nucleotides) under uncultured bacterium. Its description in RNAcentral is "partial 16S ribosomal RNA". It matches the Rfam family "Bacterial small subunit ribosomal RNA", at positions 524 to 776 of the family's 1533-position model. The record is from RNAcentral.